CGGGCGACGCGCCGGUCUAAGUCCCUUGGAACGGGGCGUCACAGAGGGUGAGAAUCCCGUAUGUGACCGGUGACGGAGCCCGUGUGAAACCCCUUCGACGAGUCGAGUUGUUUGGGAAUGCAGCUCAAAACGGGUGGUAAAUUUCAUCUAAAGCUAAAUACCGGCCAGAGACCGAUAGCGCACAAGUAGAGUGAUCGAAAGAUGAAAAGCACUUUGGAAAGAGAGUCAAAAAGUACGUGAAAUUGUUGAAAGGGAAGCGCUUGCGACCAGACCUGCCCGCGGGCGAUCAGCCGUCCUUCUGGGCGGUGCACUCGCCCGCGAUCAGGCCAGCAUCGGUUCGGGCGGCCGGAUAAAGGCCCCGGGAACGUAGCUCCCUUCGGGGAGUGUUAUAGCCCGGGGCGCCAUGCGGCCUGCCCGGACCGAGGACCGCGCUUCGGCUAGGAUGCUGGCGUAAUGGUCGUAAGCGGCCCGUCUUGAAACACGGACCAAGGAGUCGACCAACUAUGCGAGUGUUUGGGCGUCAAACCCACACGCGCAAUGAAAGUGAACGGAGGUGGGAACCUCGCGGGGCGCACCAUCGACCGAUCCAGAUGUCUUCGGAUGGAUUUGAGUACGAGCAUAGCUGGUCGGACCCGAAAGAUGGUGAACUAUGCCUGAAUAGGGUGAAGCCAGAGGAAACUCUGGUGGAGGCUCGCAGCGGUUCUGACGUGCAAAUCGAUCGUCAAAUUUGGGCAUAGGGGCGAAAGACUAAUCGAACCGUC
RNAcentral lists this ribosomal RNA (761 nucleotides) under Ovealmbornia reginae. RNAcentral's name for it is "eukaryotic LSU rRNA". It matches the Rfam family "Eukaryotic large subunit ribosomal RNA", at positions 165 to 944 of the family's 3401-position model. Lineage: Eukaryota; Fungi; Ascomycota; Lecanoromycetes; Teloschistales; Teloschistaceae. The record is from RNAcentral.